This 24-nucleotide small nuclear RNA is filed under the name Arabidopsis thaliana (thale cress). RNAcentral describes it as "snRNA_10926". The record is from RNAcentral. Lineage: Eukaryota; Viridiplantae; Streptophyta; Magnoliopsida; Brassicales; Brassicaceae.
AAGAAAUUCAUAAAGAAUCCUUCU